This is a long non-coding RNA of Oncorhynchus tshawytscha (Chinook salmon), 6868 nucleotides long. The record is from Ensembl. Lineage: Eukaryota; Metazoa; Chordata; Actinopteri; Salmoniformes; Salmonidae.
UCAAGGUCUGUUGUCUAUACAGUAGAUACGGUGCCUGGAGAAGUCACAUGACGGUGUCAAGGUCUGUUGUCUAUACAGUAGAUACGGUGCCUGGAGAAGUCACAUGACGGUGUCAAGGUCUGUUGUCUAUACAGUAGAUACGGUGCCUGGAGAAGUCACAUGACGGUAUCAAGGUCUGUUGUCUAUACAGUAGAUACGGUGCCUGGAGAAGUCACAUGACGGUGUCAAGGUCUGUUGUCUAUACAGUAGAUACGGUGCCUGGAGAAGUCACAUGACGGUGUCAAGGUCUGUUGUCUAUACAGUAGAUACGAUGCCUGUAGAAGUCACAUGACUGUAGUCAAGGUCUGUUGUCUAUACAGUAGAUACGGUGCCUGUAGAAGUCACAUGACUGUAGUCAAGGUCUGUUGCUAUAACUGUUUGUGUGUAUCAUCAUCCAUCUGCCAGUUAUACUGAGGCUAUUACUCUGUUCUAUCUGUAACUAAGAUUGUCUUAUUAGUCAGAUGGUGAACAUGGAAAGAAUGUUCCAAGAAUGUUCCUGUCUCCUGUCCAGAGUACUCCUCUUCUCCAUCUCCUCUCCCAGCUAUCCUCUAGAUGUUGCCUGGAGAAGGAUGCAGUUAGGAGUGGUGCUUCCUGAAUCUGACAAAUGUCGUUAAGUGGCGCCAUUUACCCCUUCCUCUACAAACACAGGGCUCUUAUUUAAAAAAAAGUAUAUACCCCUGCACAUAUCAUCUAAUGUAUUACAAUCUGAAAGGCAAAAGGACCCUGUUUGAAUACUUAGAAAAAUCGCUUGGCAAUAGGAGUUUUGUGGAGUGUGGGUAUUAUUGAGUCGUGCCUUGCAGUCAUGAGUGAACAUGGUUGGUCCUCAAGGAGACUACAGCAUACCAGGCCUGCUUUUCACAGUUCACCCUGCUGUACCGUGGCAGUGGAAUUACUCCAGCACCUGAUACUCCGUCAUUAUUUACUAGACAACCUCCUCACAGAGUAAGACUGUUGAGUUACUAUGUUCUACUCCAUACAAUGAGGGCUUGUGUGUCUGAUGAUGUCAUUCCCGAGCCUGUGUGUAUGUCUCUGUCUGUAUUAACCAGCCAAACAGACUGGCACUGGCAGAAUAACCUGUUCCAAACAUCUCUAACUGAUUUUUAUCUUUUAUUAUCAUGUAAUUAACAUAUUACAAUGUAAUUGAUAAAUACGUUCCUGCUAAGCACUGUAAAAUAAAGCAUAACUUUGUCUUCCCACUUGUCUCCCUCUACAGUACCCUGACCAAGACUCUUGUAUACAGUCAGUAUGGGGUGAAGAAGGGUCUGUACAGAGGCCUGUCUCUCAACUACAUCUACUGUGUGUCCUCACAGGCUGUGGCCUUUAUCACCUAUGGGGUGAAGAAGGGUCUGUACAGAGGCCUGUCUCUCAACUACAUCUGCUGUGUGUCCUCACAGGCUGUGGCCUUUAUCACCUAUGGGGUGAAGAAGCAAACCAUCCACCUCAACUAGCUGCUCCCUCACCAUCCAUCUCUACCCUUCAUCGUUGCAUAGCGGGACUGAGGCACGUUCACUGUGGAUAAACGUUCUGAAAGGUUUAGGAAGAUCCCUAGCAGCUGUCUAUCUCAAAACAGCCCGAACAAGAGCGUUCUCUGGGGCUAUAUGUUCUGAAAUGUUAAGGGAAUAUUGCCUAUUAGAUAUGUCAAUUUGCCCUAGUAAACGUUUUCAGUUUUAAGGAAGUCGGCUUCCUUUCGGAGGAGUUGACCCCUGCUACCAGAGGCGGCCAUUGUGGCUCAGCCACCCGAGCAGAGCCUAGUAGCUGCUUACCCCAGUCGGAAAGCAGAGGAAUGUUAGGCGCUGGGCCCCAUGGCAGUGCUAAUCCAGUGCCCAUGUCUGUGUCUGCGCCUAUAAUGUUGUGCUGAAACCAUCCGCCAAACCUGUGGCUUGGCUUUGGACAACACCCCGGCAACUAUUGCCAUGGCUACCUAUAGACAAUGGCUUCCUCUGCUUCGAUGGGCAGCUAUGGGCAAUGAACCCCUAACAACACUCGUUGGUAAUGCCAUGGAAACCCAAUUAUGUACACUGCUCCCCCAUCCUACCCCACCACCCGCCCCUAAGAAGUCACCCAGCCAAUGACGGAGGGGAAAGUCACACCGGACAAUCUGGCUUAUCCAAUCGGAGGCCUUCUUUUCCUCAUGUACCUACUGUUGUGAGUACAAAUCUAGACACAUAAUCAACGAGACAAGGAUUUAAAUGUGUAGUAUGUCAGUUAUAAGAGUCCAGAUUCAACUAUCAAACAUUUGAUGAGAAUAAAGAAACACUCCCCAAGCUUGUGUUGAACACAGAACUGUACUUUUUAAGCAGCCUAAGUCUAAUAGAAUCCUAAUGAUAAAAUCCCACAUCAGUUUGUUCAAAACUGAACAUAAUUGAUUUUUUAUUGUGAUACUCCCCCAAAAAGUCUUAUUUUCUGUCUGACAUCGAAACAGGUUUGCUUUCUAAUUUGUUCACCCCAUGCAGUUUAACAUAUGUGUCUCUGUAGGAGUGUGGUGUGUGUGUGUGUGUGUGUGUGUGUGUGUGUGUGUGUGUGUGUGUGUGUGUGUGUGUGUGUGUAUGUGUGUGUGUGUGUGUCCGUGUGUGUGUGUGUUGUGUGUGUGUGUGUGUGAAAGCAUCCGUUCAGCUUUCAGUGUGUAGUGUGUCUCUUGUUUAUGGUGCAGGUUAGAUUCAGGGAAUGAGGCCGUGAUUUACUAUUCUACUGAGAUCUAGACACUAGCAUAAAUAAAUACAUGUAAGAUGGUGCUAUAUCAUUUGAAGCACCCAAAUGGAAACCUGAGUUAAGCACUUCAGGAAGAAACUUGCACUUGGAGACGUGGAUGUCUAUUAAGGCAGCCCCCCGCACCUCUCUGAUUCAGAGGGGUUGGGUUGAAUUCGGAAGACCCAUAUCAGUUGAAUGCAUUCAGUUGUACAACCUGCUAGUUAUCCCCCUUUCCUUUGGCUCUUUUGUGUUUAUUUAUGAUAGUGUAGUAUGACUCUGUCCACAUGGGGUCAGAAACGAGUCCGUAAUAUGUUUACCCACAACAACAGCCUGCCCUGGAUGUAACUGGACUUUACAUUACCAUGCCGAAUCAAAAUCAAAUAAUAUAUUGAUCACAUGCGCCGAAUACAAUAGGUGUAGGCCGUACCGUUAAAUGCUUACUUACAAGCCCUUAACCAAUAAUGCAGGGUUUUAACAAAGUAAGAGAAAAUGUGCUAAAUAAUCUAAAGGAUCGAUAGCCUCAUUAUUGUUAUUUUAUUGUGUUACUAUGUACAAAGCCUUCAUACCCACUACAGAGGUUUCUGUAAUCUUAUCAGUCCAUUGUUAUGAUGAUCCCCACACUGGAGUGCCUUAUGAAUAUGGGCCAUGUUCUUAUCUUGUUAAGCCAAAGGAUGUAAGGAAAUAAGAAGUCAUGAGAAUCAUAUGUACACUACCGGUCAAAGGUUUUACAACACCUACUCAUUCAAGGGUUUUUCUUUAUUUGUACUAUUUUCUACAUUGUAGAAUAAUAGUGAAGAUGUCAAAACUAUGAAAUAACCAAAUCAAAUUUUAUUUGUCUCAUGCGCCGAAUACAACUGCUGUAGACCUUACAGUGAAAUGCUUACUUACAAGCCCUAUACCAACAAUGCAGUUUUAAGAAAAUACAAAAAAAAUAGAUUAGAAUAACAAAUAAUUAAAGAGCAGCAGUAAAUAACAAUAGCGGGGCUUUAUACAGGGAGUACUGGUACAGAGUCAAUGUGGAGGCUAUAUACAGGGGGUACCGGUACAGAGUCAAUGUGGAGGCUAUAUACAGGGGGUACCGGUACAGAGUCUAUGUGGAGGCUAUAUACAGGGGGUACCGGUACAGAGUCUAUGUGGAGGCUAUAUACAGGGGGUACCGGUACAGAGUCUAUGUGCAGGAGCACCGGUGUCGAGGUAAUUGAGGUAAUAUGUAGGUAAGAGUUAUUAAGAGUAGCAGAAGUGUAGGGGGGGGGGCAAUGCAAAUAGUCUGGGUAACCAUUUGAUUAGCUGUUCAGGAGAAGCUGUUUAGAAGCCUCUUGGACCUAGACUUGGUGCUUUGGUACCGCUUGCCGUGCGAUAGCAGAGGGAACAGUCUGACGAGGGUGGCAGGAGUCUGACAAUUGUUAGGGCCUUCCUCUGACACCGCCUGGUAUAGAGGUCCUGGAUGGCAGGGAGCUUGGCCCCAGUGAUGUCCUGGGCCGUAUGCACUACCCUCUGUAGUGCCUUGCGGUCGGAGGCCGAGCGGUUGCCAUACCAGGCAGUGAUGCAACCAGUCAGGAUGCUUUCGAUGGUGCAGCUAUAGAACCUUUUGAGGAUCUGAGGACCCAUGCAAAUUCUUUUCAGUCUCCUGAGGGGGAAUAGGUUUUGCCGUGCCCUCUUCACGACUGUCUUGGUGUGUUUGGACCAUUCUAGUUUGUUGGUGAUGUGGACGCCAACGGACUUGAAGCUUUCAACCUGUUCCACUACAGCCCCGUCGAUGAGAUUGGGGGCAUGCUCAGUCCUCCUUUUCCUGUAGUCCACAAUCAUCUCCUUUUGUCUUGAUCACAUUGAGGGAGAGGUUUUUGUCCUUGCACCACAUGGUCAGGUCUCUGACCUCCUCCCUAUAGGCUGUCUCGUUGUUGUCGGUGAUCAGGCCUACCACUUGCUGUGUCAUCAGCAAUCUUAAUGAUGGUGUUGGAGUCGUGCCUGGCUGUGCAGUCAUGAGUGAACAUGGAGUACAGGAGUGGACUGAGCACGCACUCCUGAGGGGUCCCCGUGUUGAGGAUCAGCGUGGCGGAUGUGUUACCUACCCUUACCACCUGGGGGCGGCCGGAACAGCUGACGCUCUCAUGCAUGUUUCAGUGUUAUUUUGCUUGUCUGGUAGGCUCGUGUCACUGGGUAGUUCUCAGUGGAAUCAUGUAGCACACAUGGAAUCAUGUAGUAACCAAACAAGUGUAAACAAAUCCAAAUAUAUUUUAUAUUUGAGAUUCUUCAAAUAGCCACCCUUUGCCUUGAUGACAGCUUUGCACACUCUUGGCAUUCGCUCAACCAGCUUCAUGAGGUAGUCACCUGGAAUGCAUUUCAAUUAACAGGUGUGCCUUGUUAAUUUGUGGAAUUUCUUUCCUUCUUAAUGUGUUUGAGCCAAUCAGUUGUAUUGUGACAUGGUAGGUGCGGUAUAUAGAAGAAGGUAUGGACUUGGUCUUUUACCAAAUAGGGCUAUGGAAAGAACAGCUCAAAUAAGCAAAGAGAAAAAACUACAGUCCAUCAUUACUUUAAGACAUGGUCAGUCAAUACAGAACAUUUCAAGAACUUUAAAUGUUUCUUCAAGUGCAGUCGCAAAAACCAUCAAGCGCUAUGAUGAAACUGGCUCUCAUGAGGACCACCUCAGGAAUGUAAGACCCAGAGUUACCUCUGCUGCAGAAGAAAAGUUCAUUUGAGUUACAAGCCUCAGAAAUUGCAGCCCAAAUAAAUGCUUCACAGAGUACAAGUAACAGACACAUCUCAACAUCAACUGUUCAGAGGAGACUGUGAUUCAGGCCUUCAUGGUUGAAUUGCUGAAAGAAACCACUAGUAAAGGACACCAAUAAGAAGAAGAGACUUGCUUGGGCCAAGAAAUAUGAGCAUUGAACAUUAGACUGGUAUAAAUUUGUCCUUUGGUCUGGAGUCCAAAUUGGAGAUAUUUGGUUCAAGCAACACAGGACUUACAAGGCCAAGCAACACAGGACUUACAAGGCCAAGCAACACAGGACUUACAAGGCCAAGCAACACAGGACUUACAAGGCCAAGCAACACAGGACUUACAAGGCCAAGCAACACAGGACUUACAAGGCCAAGCAACACAGGACUUACAAGGCCAAGCAACACAGGACUUACAAGGCCAAGCAACACAGGACUUACAAGGCCAAGCAACACAGGACUUACAAGGCCAAGCAACACAGGACUUACAUGUAUGUUACAGGGCUAUAAAAAGAUGAGGCCAUACUCUCUUUGGAGCACUGAUGCUCUGUCCCAAUGCACAUCUCUCCUAAGGGAAUGUUUACCAAUGAUUUCUCCCAGCCCACCCAUGGCACGGUAGCUAAGCCCUUAGCCUUUACCUCUUAAGUCAAUCUCAUCGAUGCUCAGACUUUAUUCUCUAUGGUCUUUUGUACAAGAUGUGUUAUUUUGGCACUAGGAAACUUUAUGCAAUCGUUUUUUUAUUGAACCUUUAUUUAACUAGCAAGUUGGUUAAGGACAAAUUGUUAUUUACAAUUACGGCCUACCCCGGCCAAACCUGGACAACGCUGGGCCAAUUGUGCGCUACCCUAUGGGACUCCCAAUUACAGCCGGAUGUGAUACAGCCUGGAUUCAAACCAGGGAAUGUAGUGACACCUCUCUGCACUGAGAUGCAUUGCCUUAGACCGCUGCGCCCCUCGAGAGCCGUGUUUAGUCGACUGAAACCAGGGUUAUGUUCAGCAGUGUAAAUGUGGGAGAAAACAUUUUGUCAAAUGCAAAUGACAGAUUGAGGUAGCAUCUUUUCUGUUUCACAGCAUUUCAUCCCAUUGAGGUGCCUGCCUGCUGAAUGUGACCUUGUUCAAACAGUUUUGUGAAUCCUAUCAUGGGUUUAAGACAUGAUUGUCUCAGUUAAUGUAUGUACUUAGGGUGAGAUUGGUUGCAUUGAUAAGUGGAGCACCUGAGAUGUCUCCAUUGAAUGUAUUCAUGUGUUUAUUCUGUAGACCUAAACUAUGCUUUUGAAACGCUACGGGCCAAAAGUCCAUAAGAUCUAUGCUUGUAACUCAAAUGUUCAUGUAUAUCUUCAUUUACAUCAUUACUUGGUUCAGAGUUAGGGCCAAUUCCAUUUCAAUUCAGCCAAUUCAGGAAGUAAACUGAAAUCCCAAUCCCAAUU